UCCCUGUUACCAGGGCAGUCUAGCUAGAGAAAUUCAACUAACUAUAAGGGUUGCGCUCGUUGAUGGACUUAACCAAACAUCUCACGACACGAGCUGACGACGGCCAUGCAUCACCUGUCACUGUGUUCCAAAAGGCACACUUUGCUUUCGCAAUGCUUCACAGGAUGUCAAGCCUGGGUAAGGUUCUUCGCUUACCAUCGAAUUAAACAACACGCUCCACCGCUUGUGCGGGUCCCCGUCAAUUCCUUUGAGUUUUAAACUUGCGUUCGUACUACUCAGGCGGGAUGCUUAACGCGUUAGCUUCGCUACUAAGAGGGUCGAUACUCCUAACAGCUAGCAUCCAUAGUUUAGGGCGUGGACUAC
RNAcentral lists this unclassified non-coding RNA (363 nucleotides) under uncultured bacterium. RNAcentral describes it as "contains 16S-23S intergenic spacer region". The record is from RNAcentral.